Molecule: ribosomal RNA, 253 nt
Filed under: uncultured bacterium
Lineage: Bacteria
Description: partial 16S ribosomal RNA
Rfam family: Bacterial small subunit ribosomal RNA
Source: RNAcentral
UACGAAGGGGGCUAGCGUUGCUCGGAAUGACUGGGCGUAAAGGGCGCGUCGGCGGAUUGCUUUGUCGGGCGUGAAAUUCCAGGGCUUAACCUUGGGGCUGCGUUCGAGACGGGUGAUCUUGAGUUCGGAAGAGGGUCGUGGAAUUCCCAGUGUAGAGGUGAAAUUCGUAGAUAUUGGGGAGAACACCGGUGGCGAAGGCGGCGACCUGGUCCGAGACUGACGCUGAGGCGCGAAAGCGUGGGGAGCAAACAGG